ACUAGGUAUGGUGGCCCACACCUGUAGUCCCAGCUACUUGGGAGGCUGAGGCAGGAGGACCCCUUGAGCCCAGGAGUUCUGGGCUGUAGUGCUCUCUGCCGACUGGGUGUCUGCACUAAGUUCAGCAUCCAUAUGGUGACCUCUGGGAGUGAGAGACCUCUGGGUUGCCUAAGGAGGGGCGAACCGGCCCAGGUCAGAAACAGAGCAGGUCAAAACUCCCAUGCUGAUCAGUGGUGGGAUUACACCUGUGAAUAGCCCCUCCACUCCAGCCUGGGCAACAUAGCCAGACCCCAUCUU
RNAcentral lists this signal recognition particle RNA (297 nucleotides) under Microcebus murinus (gray mouse lemur). Its description in RNAcentral is "Metazoan signal recognition particle RNA (ENSMICG00000042930.1)". It matches the Rfam family "Metazoan signal recognition particle RNA". From Rfam's summary of the family: The signal recognition particle (SRP) is a universally conserved ribonucleoprotein. It is involved in the co-translational targeting of proteins to membranes. Lineage: Eukaryota; Metazoa; Chordata; Mammalia; Primates; Cheirogaleidae. The record is from RNAcentral.